This 381-nucleotide ribosomal RNA is filed under the name uncultured eukaryote. RNAcentral describes it as "partial 18S ribosomal RNA". It matches the Rfam family "Eukaryotic small subunit ribosomal RNA", at positions 593 to 976 of the family's 1831-position model. The record is from RNAcentral.
AAUAGCGUAUAUUAAAGUUGUUGCAGUUAAAAAGCUCGUAGUUGGAUUUCUGGUUGAAGCGACCGGUCGGGCGUUGAUUCGUCUGCACUGGAGUCGGUUUUGGCCAUCCUCUAGGAAAGUGCGUCUGGUAUUAAGUUAUCGGGCGUAUGAUCCAGGUCUUUUACUGUGAAAAAAUUAGAGUGUUUAAAGCAGGCCUUCGCCUUGAAUACAUUAGCAUGGAAUAAUAAGAUAGGACUUUGGUCUAUUUUGUUGGUUUGCAGACCGAAGUAAUGAUUAAUAGGGAUAGUUGGGGGUAUUUAUAUUCCAAUGUCAGAGGUGAAAUUCUUAGAUUUUUGGAAGAUAAACUUAUGCGAAAGCAUUUACCAAGGAUGUUUUCAUUAA